This 64-nucleotide transfer RNA is filed under the name Smilium sinense. RNAcentral's name for it is "tRNA-His". The record is from RNAcentral. Lineage: Eukaryota; Metazoa; Arthropoda; Thecostraca; Calanticomorpha; Calanticidae.
GUUUAAUUAGUUUAUUAAAAUUUAGGUUUGUGGAUCCUAAGAUAUAUUAUUUAUAUAUUAAACA